This is a long non-coding RNA of Saccostrea cuccullata (small rock oyster), 410 nucleotides long. RefSeq lists it as uncharacterized. Lineage: Eukaryota; Metazoa; Mollusca; Bivalvia; Ostreida; Ostreidae. The record is from RefSeq and is a predicted model, not a curated record. The transcript has 3 exons.
UCAUAAAGACUGUGGCAAAGGUAGAAAGUCAAUCUUUUCAAAAGGAAGAAGAGUCUAGAUCUGUAACUGUUGGAUUAAGUGUUGGGGCAGCUAUUUUACUCAUCUUGAUUUUUGUUUCACUGAUUCUAUUUUUACGAUAUAGAAACAAAUCUCAAAAGGAAAAGGUAUCAUUUAAUCCAAAGGAAAGGAUAAUGCUUCAGAAAUUAGAAAAGAAACUUACAUCAACAAAGCAGAAAUUUUCCGAAAAAGACAAUUCAUCUAUUCCUGUCGAGUCAACCUUGAACCUUGCCCCCCUUGGUAAUGCAAAAGAUCAAAGAGGUGGAUUGAUACGCACAAAGAAAAUAAUAACGAUAAAGAACUUACAUGCGAUAAUAGAAAAGAUGACAUUAUGUGAAAGCGCUGGAUAUAAG